RNAcentral lists this transfer RNA (85 nucleotides) under Salinirubellus salinus. It matches the Rfam family "tRNA". Rfam says of the family: Transfer RNA (tRNA) molecules are approximately 80 nucleotides in length. Their secondary structure includes four short double-helical elements and three loops (D, anti-codon, and T loops). The record is from Rfam by way of RNAcentral. Lineage: Archaea; Methanobacteriati; Methanobacteriota; Halobacteria; Halobacteriales; Natronomonadaceae.
GCGGGGGUGUCCGAGUCUGGCCAAAGGAGGCGGACUUAAGAUCCGCUCGCGUAGGCGUUCGAGGGUUCGAAUCCCUUCCCCCGCA